This 445-nucleotide ribosomal RNA is filed under the name uncultured bacterium. RNAcentral describes it as "partial 16S ribosomal RNA". It matches the Rfam family "Bacterial small subunit ribosomal RNA", at positions 354 to 796 of the family's 1533-position model. The record is from RNAcentral.
GUGAGGAAUAUUGGACAAUGGGCGCAAGCCUGAUCCAGCCAUGCCGCGUGCAGGAAGACGCAUCUAUGGUGUGUAAACUGCUUUUGUACGGGAAGAAACACUCCCUCGUGAGGGAGCUUGACGGUACCGUAAGAAUAAGGAUCGGCUAACUCCGUGCCAGCAGCCGCGGUAAUACGGAGGAUCCAAGCGUUAUCCGGAAUCAUUGGGUUUACAGGGUCCGUAGGCGGUUUAAUAAGUCAGUGGUGAAAGCCCAUCGCUCAACGAUGGAACGGCCAUUGAUACUGUUAGACUUGAAUUACAAGGAAGUAACUAGAAUAUGUAGUGUAGCGGUGAAAUGCUUAGAUAUUACAUGGAAUACCAAUUGCGAAGGCAGGUUACUACUUGUGGAUUGACGCUGAUGGACGAAAGCGUGGGGAGCGAACAGGAUUAGAAACCCUGGUAGUCC